Molecule: long non-coding RNA, 561 nt
Organism: Carlito syrichta (Philippine tarsier)
Lineage: Eukaryota; Metazoa; Chordata; Mammalia; Primates; Tarsiidae
Exons: 2
Source: RefSeq, a predicted model, not a curated record
UCCACCCAUCCCAAACAUCAGAAGAUUGAGGAAUGAUUAAGAGCCUGAGCUGGGGGCCUCUCUGCACUCUUUUGAGUUGACUUGAGGUGAACGCCACCCGCAGACACUGUGUAUCUGCUUCUUGGAUGUACGUGCUGACAACGCACAAAAUAAAAUAUUCCAGGUCCUCCAGGAGAACCACACAGUCCAGCUCCAGAGGAGUUUGCAGCCUUCAACAACUGUCCCCUGCAGGCCUUGCAUGGGUGUGUUCCCUGCAGGGCUGAGGAGCAGAGCUCUUCUGGAGGAGAUACAGAUAUUCAGUCUUUGCUGUCGCUUUCUGAGGGCAGUGCAGAUGAGAAGAAAGAGGAUUUUCUUGACAAGCAACACGUCAUCACUCUGCCAUGGUCAAAGAGCUCUUAAUGCUUACUUGUUCAUUGCUUUUUCCAUUUUGUAACCAGAGUAAAGCAAACAACUGAAAAAAGUGACCAAGUGAUGACCUGUCCAGGUACUGGAGAUUUUGAUUAUUAAUGUCUAUGAUGUUUCAAGGUUUGCAACUAAUAAAAGUUUGCAAAAUUAUAAGUU